CAGGUGGACAGAUUUGACUGCUUGCAACCACGCUAAAAAAUGCUAAAAC
RNAcentral lists this non-coding RNA (49 nucleotides) under bovine gut metagenome. The record is from RNAcentral. RNAcentral also lists the same sequence under 1 other name.